AUUGCUGAGGAGCGUUGCGACUACCGCACUGGUUUUUUAGUGGCUGGUUCCAGGCUCAGCAAGGGUACGAAGGUGACGGGUGUUCCCGUUUUCCACAACUGCCCCAAGAAUCAACGACGCUCGCAUCCG
Molecule: non-coding RNA, 129 nt
Filed under: Betaproteobacteria bacterium UKL13-2
Lineage: Bacteria; Pseudomonadati; Pseudomonadota; Betaproteobacteria
Also listed under: 1 other name
Description: SAH (S-adenosyl-L-homocysteine) riboswitch aptamer
Rfam family: SAH (S-adenosyl-L-homocysteine) riboswitch aptamer
Source: Rfam by way of RNAcentral